This 465-nucleotide ribosomal RNA is filed under the name uncultured bacterium. Its description in RNAcentral is "partial 16S ribosomal RNA". It matches the Rfam family "Bacterial small subunit ribosomal RNA", at positions 338 to 795 of the family's 1533-position model. The record is from RNAcentral.
CCUACGGGAGGCAGCAGUGGGGAAUAUUGCGCAAUGGGCGAAAGCCUGACGCAGCGACGCCGCGUGUGGGAUGAAGGUCUUCGGAUCGUAAACCUCUGUCAGCAGGGAAGAACGGUCACUGUGCUAAUCAGCAGUGAAUUGACGGUACCUGCAAAGGAAGCACCGGCUAACUCCGUGCCAGCAGCCGCGGUAAUACGGAGGGUGCGAGCGUUAAUCGGAAUUACUGGGCGUAAAGCGCUCGUAGGCGGUAUGUCAAGUCAAGGGUGAAAUCCCCGCGCUCAACGUGGGAACUGCCUUUGAAACUGGCAAACUGGAGUGUGUGAGAGGAUAGUGGAAUUCCAGGUGUAGGAGUGAAAGCCGUAGAUAUCUGGAGGAACAUCAGUGGCGAAGGCGACUAUCUGGCACAUAACUGACGCUGAGGAGCGAAAGCGUGGGUAGCAAACAGGAUUAGAUACCCCAGUAGUC